This 692-nucleotide ribosomal RNA is filed under the name Streptosporangium sp. YIM 63650. RNAcentral's name for it is "bacterial SSU rRNA". It matches the Rfam family "Bacterial small subunit ribosomal RNA", at positions 56 to 769 of the family's 1533-position model. The record is from RNAcentral. Lineage: Bacteria; Bacillati; Actinomycetota; Actinomycetes; Streptosporangiales; Streptosporangiaceae.
UGCAAGUCGAGCGGAAGGCCCUUCGGGGUACUCGAGCGGCGAACGGGUGAGUAACACGUGAGUAACCUGCCCCCGACUCUGGGAUAAGCCCGGGAAACUGGGUCUAAUACCGGAUACGACACCUCCCCGCAUGGGGUGGGUGUGGAAAGUUUUUUCGGUUGGGGAUGGACUCGCGGCCUAUCAGCUUGUUGGUGGGGUAAUGGCCUACCAAGGCGACGACGGGUAGCCGGCCUGAGAGGGCGACCGGCCACACUGGGACUGAGACACGGCCCAGACUCCUACGGGAGGCAGCAGUGGGGAAUAUUGCGCAAUGGGCGAAAGCCUGACGCAGCGACGCCGCGUGGGGGAUGACGGCCUUCGGGUUGUAAACCUCUUUCAGCAGGGACGAAGUUGACGUGUACCUGCAGAAGAAGCGCCGGCUAACUACGUGCCAGCAGCCGCGGUAAUACGUAGGGCGCAAGCGUUGUCCGGAAUUAUUGGGCGUAAAGAGCUCGUAGGUGGCUUGUCACGUCGGGUGUGAAAGCUUGGGGCUUAACUCCAGGUCUGCAUUCGAUACGGGCUGGCUAGAGGUAGGUAGGGGAGAACGGAAUUCCUGGUGUAGCGGUGAAAUGCGCAGAUAUCAGGAGGAACACCGGUGGCGAAGGCGGUUCUCUGGGCCUUACCUGACGCUGAGGAGCGAAAGCGUGGGGAGC